UACUGCAGCAUUUUGUAAGAACCUCCUUUUUGAAAUAUAAUUGUUUAGCUUGGAAGAUUCUUGUAUUUGUAAAUAAAACACAACUACAAAUUUUUGCAAGAGGAUCAUUUACAUAAGAGAAGAGAUAAUUGCACAAGUAUUUUUAUACUCGUUCACUCCAACUAAGCUACGUCCAAUCUCCUCCGUAGAGGGUUCCGUUAUAAUCUUCACAAGAUUACAACUGAGUAUUCUCACCACUCGUGGUCUGAGUAUUCGCACCACUCCUGG
RNAcentral lists this long non-coding RNA (267 nucleotides) under Vigna radiata. RNAcentral describes it as "long non-coding RNA (VRAD_LNC012486)". The record is from RNAcentral. Lineage: Eukaryota; Viridiplantae; Streptophyta; Magnoliopsida; Fabales; Fabaceae.